GGGCCGGGAAGAAAAGAAAGUCACCCAGGACUACAAUUCCCACAAUGCACUUCAUGGGCUUCUCUCGACGUGUGCUCUUGGAAAACGUAGUACAUUGUGGGGCAAGAUUUAAAAAUGCAGGAGGGAGGUGGGAGGGCCAAAGUCAGAGAGAGAAGAGGAGAUGCUAUUUCUGAAAGAGGACCAUGAACCAAAGGAUGCAGAUAGACUCUAGAAGCUAGAAACAGCAAAGAAUGGAUUAUCCCUGGAGCCUCUGGAAGGAACACAGCCCUGCCAACUUCAUGAUUUUGGCCUUGGAAGGUCCUUUUUUGGACUUCUGACAUUCAGAACUGUCCAUAAAGACAGAGAUGAGAAAGCAACAUACAUUCAGGAUAUAGACUUGGUCCAAGGAGCAGAAAGAUACUCAGG
This is a long non-coding RNA of Herpailurus yagouaroundi (jaguarundi), 405 nucleotides long. RefSeq lists it as uncharacterized. Lineage: Eukaryota; Metazoa; Chordata; Mammalia; Carnivora; Felidae. The record is from RefSeq and is a predicted model, not a curated record. The transcript has 3 exons.